RNAcentral lists this ribosomal RNA (207 nucleotides) under uncultured bacterium. Its description in RNAcentral is "partial 16S ribosomal RNA". It matches the Rfam family "Bacterial small subunit ribosomal RNA", at positions 568 to 774 of the family's 1533-position model. The record is from RNAcentral.
CGCGUAGGCGGGCCAUCAAGUCAGGGGUGAAAUCCUCCAGCUCAACUGGAGAACAGCUUUUGAUACUGGUGGUCUGGAGGGGGGUAGGGGCAUGUGGAACUUCCGGUGGAGCGGUGAAAUGCGUAGAUAUCGGAAGGAACGCCGGUGGCGAAAGCGACGUGCUGGACCCUUUCUGACGCUGAGGCGCGAAAGCCAGGGGAGCAAACG